RNAcentral lists this ribosomal RNA (253 nucleotides) under uncultured bacterium. RNAcentral's name for it is "partial 16S ribosomal RNA". It matches the Rfam family "Bacterial small subunit ribosomal RNA", at positions 524 to 776 of the family's 1533-position model. The record is from RNAcentral.
UACAGAGGUCCCAAGCGUUGUUCGGAUUCACUGGGCGUAAAGGGUGCGUAGGUGGCCAGGUAAGUUUGGUGUGAAAGCUCGGAGCUUAACUCCGAAAAGUCAUUGAAUACUAUCUGGCUGGAGGGUCGGAGGGGAGACUGGAAUUCUCGGUGUAGCAGUGAAAUGCGUAGAUAUCGAGAGGAACACCAGUGGCGAAGGCGGUUGCCUGGGGCUUUGCUGACGCUGAGGCACGAAAGCGUGGGGAUCAAACAGG